This is a long non-coding RNA of Oncorhynchus tshawytscha (Chinook salmon), 504 nucleotides long. The record is from Ensembl. NCBI's taxonomy places the organism in Eukaryota, Metazoa, Chordata, Actinopteri, Salmoniformes, Salmonidae.
CUACAGGGUUACAUGGCUACAGAGUUACAUGGCUACAGGGUUACAGGGUUACAGGGCUACAGGGCUACAUGACUACAGGGUUACAGGGCUACAGGGUUACAGGGUUACAUGGCUACAGGGCUACAGGGUGACAAAGCUACAUGGCUACAGGGCUACAGGGUUACAGGGCUACAGGGCUAAAGGGCUACAGGGGUACAGGGCUACAUGGCUACAGGGCUACAGGGUUACAUGGCUACAGGGCUACAGGGUUACAGGGCUACAGGGCUACAGGGUUACAGGACUACAGGGCUACAGGGUUACAGGGCUACAGGGUUACAGAGCUACAGGGCUACAGGGUUACAGGGCUACAGGGAUACAUGGCUACAGGGUUACAGGGCUACAGGGCUGCAGGGCUACAGGUUUACAGAGCUACAUGGCUACAUGGCUACAGGUUUACAGAGCUACAGGGCUACAUGGCUAUAGGGUUACAGAGCUACAGGGCUACAGGGUUACAGGGCUACAGGG